CGAGAAUGAAAUUCUGAUGCUUCUUUUAGGAAGACUAGACUGGGAUGACUAUUGACCACAUCCUAAGAAAGAAGCAGAAAGGAGAUCUGCUCAAAAUGUAAGCAUAAGAAUUAAUGAACUCUCUUAACUAGAGGUGGCUAAACUGUGAUCCCUCGGAUACUGCUGGACUACAAUACACAUCAUUCCUGACCACUGGCAAUACUGGCUAGGACUGAUAGUCCUACAACACCUGGAGGGCCCCAGGUGAGCCACACAUGCUCCAAUCAUCUCCUACAUACCCAACCAAUCACCACACUCUGCACAAGGACCUCUUGCAAAUAGCAUCCUAUCAGGAAGUCUAUUCCACACAAUGUUAAAAUCGAGCCUUUCCUGUGGUGGUCCUUAUCCUCUGCAUAUCAGAGAAGGGCAUCCUCUAUUGGCUUUUUGGUGCCUGCUAAAUAUAUUUCUCUUUCCACAAGCCUUUUAAAAUAUUUUCCUAGAUGGUCCCUGCCCUGGAUCUGGAUAGAUUUUAUAUAUGCGCUGUUGUUUCAAUCUGAUAUAUCUAUUGUAGUGCUUUAUUUCUGGAAGGACAUAGUGGUAUGCAUACCCCUAAACAUUUUGUGAAUCUUUGUACUUUUGUCCAUUUACUGUAUUUAUUUUCCUGGAUUUGAACUAUAAAAUGGUGAUUUUCUUGAGUCAAAAUGAGAGUACCCCUAAACAUUUUUAAAGGAAAAAAGCACUGGGCAAUUGUUUUUACAUGCAUAACUGUUUUAAAUAUGUCAUUCUAUUGCAAUGCCUGAAAUAAUUAUUAAUAAUAAUAAUCCUAAAUUUCUUAAAUUGCCAUAUAUGCACCCAUCAAAUGUUAGGAAUCUAGCAGGCUUAAAAGAGUUACUGUUCAAACCCAGCAAUGCCUUUAUUUAUGAACUUUUUCAAGCAUCUUAUUUUUCCUUCUCUUUUUUAAAAACUUCACUUUGAAAUGGCAUGGUUGUUUUACACCAAAUCCAAGUAUACAUUUUUGGGAUGGGGGAAGAGGACAAUAAAUAUUUUAAAACUCUU
This is a long non-coding RNA of Podarcis raffonei (Aeolian wall lizard), 1035 nucleotides long. RefSeq lists it as uncharacterized. The transcript is spliced from 2 exons. The record is from RefSeq and is a predicted model, not a curated record. NCBI's taxonomy places the organism in Eukaryota, Metazoa, Chordata, Lepidosauria, Squamata, Lacertidae.